GGGAGCCCGUUGCGGUAAUUCCGCACGGCGGGUUCUGCGAGGGGGGACGGGUACAAGAGGUCAAUCCUCGAGGCCCGUCUCUACCCACCAU
Molecule: non-coding RNA, 91 nt
Filed under: Burkholderia sp. D7
Lineage: Bacteria; Pseudomonadati; Pseudomonadota; Betaproteobacteria; Burkholderiales; Burkholderiaceae
Source: RNAcentral